This 484-nucleotide ribosomal RNA is filed under the name uncultured bacterium. Its description in RNAcentral is "partial 16S ribosomal RNA". It matches the Rfam family "Bacterial small subunit ribosomal RNA", at positions 30 to 507 of the family's 1533-position model. The record is from RNAcentral.
AUUGAACGCUGGCGGCAGGCCUAACACAUGCAAGUCGAGCGGAUGAAUGGAGCUUGUUCUCGGAUUCAGCGGCGGACGGUUGAGUAAUGCCUAGGAAUCUGCCUUGUCGUGGGGGAUAACGUCCGGAAACGGGCGCUAAUCCCGCAUCCGUCCUGAUGUAGUAAGUCGGGGAUCUUCGGACCUCACUCUAUCUGAUGAGCCUAGGUCCUAUUAGCUAGUUGGAUGGGUAAAGGCCUACCAAGGCGACGAUCCGUAACUGGUCUGAGAGGAUGACCAGUCACACUGGAACUGAGACACGGUCCAGACUCCUACGGGAGGCAGCAGUAGGGAAUAUUGAACAAUGGGCGAAAGCCUGAUCGAGCCAUGCCGCGUGAGUGAUGAAGGGAUUCGGAUUGUAAAGCACUGUAAGUUGGGAGGAAGGAAAGUAAGUUAAUACGUGACUGUUUUGACGUUACCAACAGAAGAAGCCCCGGCUAACUUCGUG